RNAcentral lists this ribosomal RNA (473 nucleotides) under Myrianida quindecimdentata. RNAcentral's name for it is "partial 16S ribosomal RNA". It matches the Rfam family "Bacterial large subunit ribosomal RNA", at positions 1831 to 2597 of the family's 2925-position model. The record is from RNAcentral. Lineage: Eukaryota; Metazoa; Annelida; Polychaeta; Phyllodocida; Syllidae.
UYCCUAUUGACUCUUUAUAUUAGGUACGCUCUGCCCAGUGAUUUUUAAACGGCCGCGGUAGCCUGACCGUGCGAAGGUAGCAUAAUCAUUUGCCUUCUAAUUAGAGGCUAGAAUGAAUGAGUUUUCAUAGAUAAACCUAUACCUUAUUUAUUUAUAAAAUUUAAUAUUCAGGUGAAGAAGCCUGAUUUUCAUAAAAAGACAAAAAGACCCUAUCAAGCUUUAUAUUUUCCUAUACCUUAUAGAAAAAUGUUUAAUUGGGGAGAUUGAUGAGAAUUAAUAAACUCUCAUAACCUAUUAGAUAAAUAAAUCCUAAAAUUUAAUCAUUUAAUAUAACAAAGCUACUGUAGGGAUAACAGGCUAAUAUUUUCCUAGAGUUCAAAUUAAAGAAAAUGAUUGGCACCUCGAUGUUGGCUUAGGAUUCCUUUUUCCUGCAGAAGGGAAGAAAUGGAGGUUUGUUCAACCUUUAUUUUCCU